GCAAGGACAACUGGGACAAACAUUUUAGAC
Molecule: non-coding RNA, 30 nt
Filed under: Cricetulus griseus (Chinese hamster)
Lineage: Eukaryota; Metazoa; Chordata; Mammalia; Rodentia; Cricetidae
Source: RNAcentral